CAGCAGCCGCGGUAAUACGAAGGGGGCUAGCGUUGCUCGGAAUUACUGGGCGUAAAGGGCGCGUAGGCGGACAGUUAAGUUGGGGGUGAAAGCCCGGGGCUCAACCUCGGAAUUGCCUUCAAUACUGGCUGUCUUGAGUACGGGAGAGGUGAGUGGAACUCCGAGUGUAGAGGUGAAAUUCGUAGAUAUUCGGAAGAACACCAGUGGCGAAGGCGACUCACUGGCCCGUUACUGACGCUGAGGCGCGAAAGCGUGGGGAGCAAACAGGAUUAGAUACCCUG
RNAcentral lists this ribosomal RNA (281 nucleotides) under uncultured bacterium. Its description in RNAcentral is "partial 16S ribosomal RNA". It matches the Rfam family "Bacterial small subunit ribosomal RNA", at positions 509 to 789 of the family's 1533-position model. The record is from RNAcentral.